This 163-nucleotide non-coding RNA is filed under the name uncultured Peptoniphilus sp. Its description in RNAcentral is "Lysine riboswitch". It matches the Rfam family "Lysine riboswitch aptamer". From Rfam's summary of the family: Riboswitches are metabolite binding domains within certain messenger RNAs that serve as precision sensors for their corresponding targets. The record is from RNAcentral. Lineage: Bacteria; Bacillati; Bacillota; Tissierellia; Tissierellales; Peptoniphilaceae.
UGAUAGAGGCGCACUUCACAUCAGUAAGGAUCAUCUCCGGUCAAUGGAUGAUCGUGAAAGGGUGACGUGCCGAGGGUUAGUCGCUUGUGUCCACAAGUCGCUAUCACCGGGACGUAGGAGAAUAUCCUGCGUACUGUCGUUCUACGGAACGGAGAGCUAUCGU